CGGGGGGAGCAAGCGUUGUUCGGAUUUACUGGGCGUAAAGGGCGCGUAGGCGGCCACCGCAAGUCGACUGUGAAAUCUCCGGGCUUAACCCGGAAAGGUCAGCCGAUACUGCGGGGCUAGAGUGCAGAAGGGGCAACUGGAAUUCUCGGUGUAGCGGUGAAAUGCGUAGAUAUCGAGAGGAACACCUGCGGCGAAGGCGGGUUGCUGGGCUGACACUGACGCUGAGGCGCGAAAGCUAGGGGAGCGAACGGGAUUAGAUACCCCGGUAGUCCUAGCCUUAAACGAUGAAUGCUUAGUGUCUGGGGUUUUAUAGUCCCCGGGUGCCGUCGCUAACGCUUUAAGCAUUCCGCCCGGGGAGUACGGUCGCAAGACUG
Molecule: ribosomal RNA, 374 nt
Filed under: uncultured organism
Description: bacterial SSU rRNA
Rfam family: Bacterial small subunit ribosomal RNA
Source: RNAcentral